AGAACGAACGCUGGCGGCAGGCUUAACACAUGCAAGUCGAACGCCCCGCAAGGGGAGUGGCAGACGGGUGAGUAACGCGUGGGAACGUACCCUUCGGUUCGGAACAACUCCGGGAAACUGGAGCUAAUACCGGAUACGUCCUGCCCCUUAAACAAGGGUGGGAGAAAGAUUUAUCGCCGAAGGAUCGGCCCGCGUCGGAUUAGCUAGUUGGUGAGGUAACGGCUCACCAAGGCGACGAUCCGUAGCUGGUCUGAGAGGAUGAUCAGCCACACUGGGACUGAGACACGGCCCAGACUCCUACGGGAGGCAGCAGUGGGGAAUAUUGGACAAUGGGCGAAAGCCUGAUCCAGCCAUGCCGCGUGAGUGAAGAAGGCCCUAGGGUUGUAAAGCUCUUUCAGCGGGACGAUAAUGACGGUACCGCAGAAGAAGCCCGGCUAACUUCGUGCCAGCAGCCGC
Molecule: ribosomal RNA, 456 nt
Filed under: uncultured bacterium
Lineage: Bacteria
Description: SSU rRNA
Rfam family: Bacterial small subunit ribosomal RNA
Source: RNAcentral